CGGGCUGACCUGCGGAAAGACCAAACGGGCUGGUUUCGAUCUGGCCCGGACCUCAUUCGGGACGAAGAGGUCGUGGGUUCAAAUCCCGCCACCCCGAC
This 98-nucleotide transfer RNA is filed under the name Streptomyces paromomycinus. RNAcentral's name for it is "tRNA-Arg". Lineage: Bacteria; Bacillati; Actinomycetota; Actinomycetes; Kitasatosporales; Streptomycetaceae. The record is from RNAcentral.